Molecule: long non-coding RNA, 1224 nt
Filed under: Rhinopithecus roxellana (golden snub-nosed monkey)
Lineage: Eukaryota; Metazoa; Chordata; Mammalia; Primates; Cercopithecidae
Description: lncRNA (ENSRROG00000045936.1)
Source: RNAcentral
CUUUAACUCUGAUCCCUUCCUCUCCCCCACAGAGAUUCCUCCAACUGAACUUCCAGAGAGACCCUGAAGAGAUUAUCUGGUCCAUGAGCCCUGUGGUGGAUGGUGUGGUGAUCCCAGAUGACUCUCUGGUGCUUCUGACCCAGGGGCAGGUUUCAUCCGUGCCCUACCUUCUACCUGGAGUUCAAUUGGCUCUUGCCUUACGCCAAAAACUCCUGGGGGGCUGAGCCUGGAUCCAAGUCACUGGUGGGCCCAUCUCUGGCCCAGCUGGCACCCAGGCCUCAGAUAAGUGUGGCCUCCCCACCCAGAAUAUCACCAAGGAGCAGGUACCACUUGUGGUGGAGGAGUACCUGGACAAUGUCAAUGAGCAUAACUGGAAGAUGCUAUGAAACCGUAUAAUGAAUAUAGUUCAAGAUGCCACUUUCGUGUACACCACGCUGCAGACUGUUCACUACCACUGAGAAACCCCAAUGAUGGGAAUCUGCCCUGCUGGCCACGUUACAAGGAUGAAAAGUACCUGCAGCUGGAUUUUACCAUAAGCGUGGGCAUGAAGCUCAAGAGGAAGAAGAUGGCUUUUUGCAUGAGUCUGUACCAGUCUCAGAGACCUGAGAAGCAGAGGCAAUUCUAAGGGUGGCUAUGCAGGAAGAAGCCAAAGAGGGGUUUGCCCCACCACCCAGGCCCUGGGGAGACUGGCCAUGGACAUACCUGGGGACAAGAGUUCUACCCACCCCAAUUUAGAACUGCAGGAGCUCCCUGCUGCCUCCAGGCCAGAGCUAGAGCUUUUGCCUGUUGUGUGGGACCUGCACCACCCUCUCCAGCCUGACAUCCCAUGAUGCCCCCUACCUCAAUGUUGACAUCCAGUUAGGCCAGGCCCUGUCAACACCAUACUGUGCCCAGCUCUCCAGCCUCAGGACAACCUCUCUUUUUCCCUUCUUCAAAUCCUCCCACCCUUCAGUGUCUCCUUGUGGCUCCUUCUUAUGGGAGUUCGACCCAGACUGCCACUGCCCCGUCACUGCACCCAGCUUGGCAUUUACCAUUCAUCCUGCUCAACCUUGUGCCCGUCUGUUCACAUUGGCUUGGAGGCCUAGGGCAGGUUGUGACAUGGAGCAAACUUUUGGUAGUUUGGGAUCUUCUCUUCCACCCGCACUUAUCUCCCCCAGGGCCACUCCAAAGUCUAUCCACAGGGAUGUUCUCAAUAAAGAAGUGUUGAUUUGACCUGAAUUUCUC